ACAUAACUGAUGCCUCCGCGUAUCGACUUUGUGCGCAUUUUAGCUAUUAUGUGUUCUUUUAAUUAAAAUGAUUCUUUUUAAGAUUCAUCUAUUAAAAAUUUGCUUCGGCAUAAUUUUUUUUGAUGAUCUUGUUACUUUGAGUAAAUUAGAGUGUUCAAAGCAAACAGAUAUAGCAUUUGUGCGUUUGAAUACUACAGCAUGGAAUAACAAAAUUGAACAAGUCAGAAUUUUUUUGUUCUUUUUUCUUAUUUUGGCUUAGUUACGAUUAAUAGGAGUAGCUUGGGGGCAUUUGUAUUCAGAUGUCAGAGGUGAAAUUCUUAGAUUUUCUGGAGACAAACAACUGCGAAAGCAUUUGCCUAAAAUACUUCCAUUAAUCAAGAACGAAAGUUAAGGGAGUGAAGACGAUCAGAUACCGUCGUAAUCUUAACCAUAAACUAUGCCGACUAGGCUUUGGAUGAAAGAUUUUAAAAUAAGAGUUUUUCUUUUCUCUCCGGAGACUAGAACUCUUAGAUUGCUUCCUUCAGUGCCUUAUGAGAAAUCAAAGUCUUUGGGUUCUGGGGCGAGUAUUCGCGCAAGCGAGAAAGUUAAAAGAAUUGACGGAAGGGCACCACCAGGCGUGGAGCUUGCGGCUUAAUUUGACUCAACACGGGAAAACUCACUAGUUUAAGACAAGAGUAGGAUUGACAGAUUAAUAGCUCUUUCUUGAUUUCUUGGAUGGUGAUGCAUGGCCGUUUUUAGUUCGUGAAUAUGAUUUGUCUGGUUAAUUCCGAUAACGAACGAGAUCUUAACCUGCUAAUUAGCGGCAAAUACGAUAUAUUCUUAUGUAGAAUUGAAUAUAGUGGAUUUGUUAGAUUUUGAAGAAAAUAUUGGAAUUACGUUAAAUGUGAUUCCUUUCCCUUUUCUACUUAAUUUACAUUUCCAUCUAUUUCUUUUUUGCGUAUGAAUGUAUUUGCUUGAUUGUAAAGCUUCUUAGAGGAACGAUGUGUG
Molecule: ribosomal RNA, 987 nt
Filed under: Plasmodium knowlesi
Lineage: Eukaryota; Apicomplexa; Aconoidasida; Haemosporida; Plasmodiidae
Description: SSU rRNA
Rfam family: Eukaryotic small subunit ribosomal RNA
Source: RNAcentral